UUUGAUCAUGGCUCAGGACGAACGCUGGCGGCGUGCUUAACACAUGCAAGUCGAACGAUGAACCACUUCGGUGGGGAUUAGUGGCGAACGGGUGAGUAACACGUGGGCAAUCUGCCCUUCACUCUGGGACAAGCCCUGGAAACGGGGUCUAAUACCGGAUAACACUUCCACUCUCCUGGGUGGUGGUUAAAAGCUCCGGCGGUGAAGGAUGAGCCCGCGGCCUAUCAGCUUGUUGGUGAGGUAAUGGCUCACCAAGGCGACGACGGGUAGCCGGCCUGAGAGGGCGACCGGCCACACUGGGACUGAGACACGGCCCAGACUCCUACGGGAGGCAGCAGUGGGGAAUAUUGCACAAUGGGCGAAAGCCUGAUGCAGCGACGCCGCGUGAGGGAUGACGGCCUUCGGGUUGUAAACCUCUUUCAGCAG
This 426-nucleotide ribosomal RNA is filed under the name Streptomyces violaceus subsp. violarus. RNAcentral's name for it is "bacterial SSU rRNA". It matches the Rfam family "Bacterial small subunit ribosomal RNA", at positions 12 to 442 of the family's 1533-position model. The record is from RNAcentral. Lineage: Bacteria; Bacillati; Actinomycetota; Actinomycetes; Kitasatosporales; Streptomycetaceae.